RNAcentral lists this ribosomal RNA (497 nucleotides) under uncultured bacterium. Its description in RNAcentral is "partial 16S ribosomal RNA". It matches the Rfam family "Bacterial small subunit ribosomal RNA", at positions 28 to 507 of the family's 1533-position model. The record is from RNAcentral.
GAUGAACGCUGGCGGCGUGCCUAAUACAUGCAAGUCGAGCGAACGGACGAGAAGCUUGCUUCUCUGAUGUUAGCGGCGGACGGGUGAGUAACACGUGGAUAACCUACCUAUAAGACUGGGAUAACUUCGGGAAACCGGAGCUAAUACCGGAUAAUAUUUUGAACCGCAUGGUUCAAAGGUAAAAGACGGUCUUGCUGUCACUUAUAGAUGGAUCCGCGCUGCAUUAGCUAGUUGGUAAGGUAACGGCUUACCAAGGCAACGAUGCAUAGCCGACCUGAGAGGGUGAUCGGCCACACUGGAACUGAGACACGGUCCAGACUCCUACGGGAGGCAGCAGUAGGGAAUCUUCCGCAAUGGGCGAAAGCCUGACGGAGCAACGCCGCGUGAGUGAUGAAGGUCUUCGGAUCGUAAAACUCUGUUAUUAGGGAAGAACAUAUGUGUAAGUAACUGUGCACAUCUUGACGGUACCUAAUCAGAAAGCCACGGCUAACUACGUG